This 74-nucleotide transfer RNA is filed under the name Selenomonas sp. KH1T6. Its description in RNAcentral is "tRNA_Asp_GTC". It matches the Rfam family "tRNA". From Rfam's summary of the family: Transfer RNA (tRNA) molecules are approximately 80 nucleotides in length. Their secondary structure includes four short double-helical elements and three loops (D, anti-codon, and T loops). The record is from RNAcentral. Lineage: Bacteria; Bacillati; Bacillota; Negativicutes; Selenomonadales; Selenomonadaceae.
GGCCCCAUAGUUUAGUUGGUUAGAACGCCGCCCUGUCACGGCGGAGGUCAGGAGUUCAAGUCUCCUUGGGGUCG